RNAcentral lists this ribosomal RNA (246 nucleotides) under uncultured Desulfocapsa sp. RNAcentral's name for it is "partial 16S ribosomal RNA". It matches the Rfam family "Bacterial small subunit ribosomal RNA", at positions 1138 to 1382 of the family's 1533-position model. The record is from RNAcentral. Lineage: Bacteria; Pseudomonadati; Thermodesulfobacteriota; Desulfobulbia; Desulfobulbales; Desulfocapsaceae.
CUCUAAAGAGACUGCCGGUGUCAAACCCGGAGGAAGGUGGGGAUGACGUCAAGUCCUCAUGGCCUUUAUGACUAGGGCUACACACGUACUACAAUGGCCGGUACAAAGGGCAGCGACACAGCGAUGUGAAGCGAAUCCCGAAAAGCCGGUCUCAGUCCGGAUUGGAGUCUGCAACUCGACUCCAUGAAGUUGGAAUCGCUAGUAAUCGCGGAUCAGCACGCCGCGGUGAAUACGUUCCCGGGCCUU